This 103-nucleotide transfer RNA is filed under the name Nitrososphaerales archaeon. RNAcentral's name for it is "tRNA-Phe". It matches the Rfam family "tRNA". From Rfam's summary of the family: Transfer RNA (tRNA) molecules are approximately 80 nucleotides in length. Lineage: Archaea; Thermoproteati; Nitrososphaerota; Nitrososphaeria; Nitrososphaerales. The record is from RNAcentral.
GCCGAGGUAGCUCAGCCUGACAAGGCGGGCUAAGGAGAGAGGCCAAGCCUCCAGCACCCGGCUGAAGACCGGGCUGUCGCAGGUUCAAAUCCUGCCCUCGGCA